AUGUCCGAGGCCCAUGAUGAGUUUCUUCAGGUACCGAUCAUGUCCUCGGAGGGUCCGGUGAUGAUACAGUUCGUGUCCAACCCCAGCAUCGCCGGCAGCAGCGACGCGCUGUCGGCGUCGCUCAGCGCCUGCCCAUCGGGGAGGUCGGCGUCGGAGGUAGAGAUCGAAGUGCUCUUCCAUGACGCCGACGGUUACGUCUACGACGACGAUGGCUGCUGCACGGCGUCAUUGCUCGGCUGCGGCGGCGAGGACUUGGAGUCGGGCGGGGCGACGGCAAGGCUGCUUCGCUCGCCGUCGCCGGGCAUGGAGUUCGUGGAGCGUGACGGCAAGGGGGAGCCCAAGUGGAGCGAGAUGGAGCGAGUGAGGUUUGGCCGCUCGUGCUCGUCGCCUGGGAAGGCUGGUGAAAAUGAGUCUGCUAGUUCGGCGGAAGGGCCUGUUUUGGUCAAUCAAAACAGCAAUCCUAAAAGAUCCAUCAGUCGUUCUUCUAGCCAUGGGAUCAGAAUAGCAUUGGAUAGCUGUGAAAGAAACUCAAGUAGCAAUCUCAAUGAAAAAGAUAUCAAACAGGCGAUAAUGUUCAGUGCCUCUUUGAACAAGCUCUCAUUAAGCCAAGACGAAGCAACUGAAUACACACACUUGAUCCUAGAAGAAAUCCAAACAGGCCAGGGACUAGCAAAGCUGAGCGGAACAAGAAAGGGGACACUGAAUGAUCUCCAACCAACUUGCUGGUCAACACCUAUACCAACCAAACACAUACAAUGUAUGACAUCGACAGCAAUUGUCUUCUUUCGUGCUCACUGGAGACGAAUAUGGGUAAUUGUCAUCUGGCUUGUAGCAUGUGCUGCACUCUUCACUUGGAAGUUCAUGCAGUAUCGCCAGCGAUUGGCAUUUGAGGUCAUGGGAUACUGCCUGCCAACUGCCAAGGGCGCUGCAGAGACUCUUAAGUUUAACAUGGCCAUUGUGCUCCUACCUGUAUGCCGUAACACUAUCACUUGGCUUAGGAGAAGCCGUAGCAUCAACUCUGUCAUUCCAUUUAAUGACAAUAUUAACUUCCACAAGCUUGUUGCUGCAGGAAUUGUGAUCGGCAUAAUCCUCCAUGGUGGUACUCACCUAUCAUGUGACAUCCCAAGGAUUGCAAUGGCAGAUAAGACCAUUUUUGGGCGCACAAUUGCUCGUGACUUUGGCUAUCACCAGCCAUCAUACAUGGAGAUAGUGACAUCAAUCGAGGGGACAACUGGUAUAGCCAUGGUAGUGCUCAUGCUGAUUGCUUUCCUGCUUGCCAGUAGGCCUUCAAGAAGAAAUCCAGGAUCACUCCCACCUCUGGUCAGACAGAUGGCGGGAUUCAAUGCUUUCUGGUACUCACAUCAUCUGUUCAUUGUUGUCUACGUUCUGCUCAUCGUGCAUUCCAUGUUCCUCUUCCUAGCAAAAGAUGUAUCAGAGAAGACGACAUGGGUGUAUGUGGUGAUUCCUGUGAUGAUCUACCUUGGAGAGCGAAUGUUCAGGAUGGUCAGAUCUAUGGCAUAUGAAUCGAAGAUCCUCGAUGCAAUGACUUAUCCAGGGAAGGUACUUUCUCUCAAGAUGGCAAAGCCUCCAGGUUUUCGCUAUCAAAGUGGAAUGUAUGUCUUUGUCCAAUGUCCACAAGUAUCGAAGUUUGAAUGGCACCCAUUUUCUCUUACCUCUGCACCAGAUGAUGAUCAUUUGAGCAUCCACAUCAGAUCUCUGGGUGACUGGAGCUACCAUGUGUAUGAUAUGUUCCAUGAGGCACUGCGUUGCAGCAACCUCGACCUGCCAAAAGUAUCCAUUGAUGGCCCAUACGGUGCAGCAUCACAAGAUCACUCGAAAUAUGAAAUUAUCUUGCUAAUAGGGCUUGGAAUAGGAGCAACACCGUUCAUAAGUGUCCUCAAAGACAUUGCCAAUGGCCUAGAUAAGGAAGGCUGCGCAGCAAAUCAUCAUAGUGCCAAUGGGCUGAGGAAGGCCUACUUUUAUUGGGUGACAAGAGAGCAAGGAUCCUUUGAGUGGUUUAGGGACAUCAUGAAGGAGGUUUCAGCUCGAGACAGCAAACAGGGUGUGAUAGAGAUGUACAACUAUCUAACAAGCGUCUACCAGGAAGGUGACAAGCGGUCAGUGCUGAUAAGCGCAAUUCAGGCUCUUCAUUUUGCGCGCCAUGGCAUUGAUAUCAUCUCGAAAACUCCAGUCCGUACACACUUUUCGAGACCGAACUGGCCUAGGGUGUUCCAUGGUCUUGCAAGAAAACAUAUCGGUGAAAGGAUAGGGGUUUUCUACUGCGGGCCGGAUGAUUUGGGAAGACAACUGGAAAGACUCUGCCACAAAAUGAACAUGAGAACAUUCACUAGAUUUGUGUUCCACAAGGAGCAUUUUUAG
RNAcentral lists this ribosomal RNA (2379 nucleotides) under Triticum aestivum (bread wheat). Its description in RNAcentral is "partial small subunit ribosomal RNA". Lineage: Eukaryota; Viridiplantae; Streptophyta; Magnoliopsida; Poales; Poaceae. The record is from RNAcentral.